This is a long non-coding RNA of Poecilia latipinna (sailfin molly), 475 nucleotides long. RefSeq lists it as uncharacterized. NCBI's taxonomy places the organism in Eukaryota, Metazoa, Chordata, Actinopteri, Cyprinodontiformes, Poeciliidae. The transcript has 4 exons. The record is from RefSeq and is a predicted model, not a curated record.
CAUUUCUCAACACCCUGAUCCAGAUACUCUAUAUAAGUGGAGUCCAAACUUCACCUCAACACAACCUUCCUGUCAAGUCAUUCAAAGCAGAGAAGACUCUACGCUGAAAUCACUGCAGCCAUGCUGAAGGUAGCACUUAUUCUUGGAUGCCUCCUGAGCCUCAUUGUGGCUACACCAAUGGAGCACCAGCGAGUUGCUCGCUCCGGCUCUGGAUCCAGCUCCAAUGAGGUCUCAACAACCAACUUUGCCACCCUGCUGUCCCUGCUCCUCCAGCUUAUCACCACCACCACCACCACAACCACAACUACAACUGCAGCUACAACACCAGCUGCUGCUACAUAAAACGGAGACUUGAACGUCAGCAAAUUUGUCAUGUGUUGAGAAAGUUGUCAUUGUUUUUCUCUCUCAAUUUUCAAUGUUAAUGGAAAUCAGUUUCCAGUAUCAUUGAACAUGGAUCAAAUUUGCUGCUGUCAUG